GCCUUCGGGUGAGAGCGGCGAACGGGUGAGUAACACGUAGGUUACCUGCCCCAUAGACUGGGAUAGCUCCUGGAAACAGGAAUUAAUACCGGAUACACUCGUAAGAGGAAAGGCGCGUUUGCGCCACUGUGGGAUGGGCCUGCGUCCUAUUAGCUUGUUGGUGGGGUAAAGGCCUACCAAGGCAAUGAUAGGUAGCCGACCUGAGAGGGUGAUCGGCCACAUUGGGACUGAGACACGGCCCAGACUCCUACGGGAGGCAGCAGCUAAGAAUAUUGCGCAAUGGGCGAAAGCCUGACGCAGCAAUCCCGCGUGAGCGAUGAAGGCCUUCGGGUUGUAAAGCUCUUUCGGCAAAGAAGAAUAAUUUCCAAGGAAAUAUUGGAAAGAUGACUGUACUUGCAGAAGAAGCACCGGCUAAUUACGUGCCAGCAGCCGCGGUAAUACGUAGGGUGCAAACGUUGUUCGGAAUCAUUGGGCGUAAAGGGUACGUAGGCUGCCAAGAAAGUUAGUGGUGAAAUUCCGGGGCUUAACUCCGGGGCUGCCAUUAAUACUGCUUGGCUAGAGUCACUUAUAUAGGUAGCAGGAAUUCCUAGUGUAGGAGUGAAAUCUGUAGAUAUUAGGAGGAACACCAAUGGCGAAGGCAAGCUGCUGGGUAGUGACUGACGCUGAGGUACGAAAGCUAGGGUAGCGAAUGGGAUUAGAGACCCCAGUAGUCCUAGCCGUAAACGUUGCAUACUAGUUCUAUGGGUAUUUUUUUAUCCGUGAAACGUAGCUAACGCGUUA
RNAcentral lists this ribosomal RNA (780 nucleotides) under uncultured Spirochaetales bacterium. RNAcentral describes it as "bacterial SSU rRNA". It matches the Rfam family "Bacterial small subunit ribosomal RNA", at positions 76 to 862 of the family's 1533-position model. Lineage: Bacteria; Pseudomonadati; Spirochaetota; Spirochaetia; Spirochaetales. The record is from RNAcentral.